GACGAACGCUGGCGGCGUGCUUAACACAUGCAAGUCGAACGAAGAGCGAUGGAAGCUUGCUUCUAUCAAUCUUAGUGGCGAACGGGUGAGUAACGCGUAAUCAACCUGCCCUUCAGAGGGGGACAACAGUUGGAAACGACUGCUAAUACCGCAUACGAUCUAAUCUCGGCAUCGAGGAUAGAUGAAAGGUGGCCUCUACAUGUAUGCUAUCACUGCAGGUGGGUAUUGCGUUUGAUUAGCUAGUUGGAGGGGUAAGGGCCCACCAAGGCGAUGAUCAGUAGGCGGUCGGGAAGGAUGAACGGCCACAUUGGGAAUGAGACCAGGCCCAGACUCCUACGGGAGGGAGCAGUGGGGAAUCUUCCGCAAUGGACGAAAGUCUGACGGAGCAACGCCGCGGGAGUGAUGACGGCCUUCGGGUUGUAAAGCUCUGUUAAUCGGGACGAAAGGCCUUCUUGCGAAUAGGGAGAAGGAUUGACGGUACCGGAAGAGAAAGCCACGGCUAACUACGUG
Molecule: ribosomal RNA, 510 nt
Filed under: uncultured bacterium
Lineage: Bacteria
Description: partial 16S ribosomal RNA
Rfam family: Bacterial small subunit ribosomal RNA
Source: RNAcentral